This is a long non-coding RNA of Papaver somniferum (opium poppy), 368 nucleotides long. RefSeq lists it as uncharacterized. Lineage: Eukaryota; Viridiplantae; Streptophyta; Magnoliopsida; Ranunculales; Papaveraceae. The record is from RefSeq and is a predicted model, not a curated record. The transcript has 3 exons.
AGAAGAUAUAAAGAUCAACCUCAUGAUUGGUGGAUUACAUAUGGAGGAAUCGAUACCCCAAACCUACAAAAAUUUGCAAUAAGGGUAUUGAGUCUUACUUGUUCUGCUUCCCCGUGUGAGCGAAACUGGAGCACAUUUCAGAAUUUGCAUUCAAAGAAGCGAAAUCGCAUAAAGCAACAAAAAUUGAAUGAUAGCGUCUUUAUUCAAUACAACAAGAAAUUGGAACGUCGAUACAAAGAAAUCAGUCAAUAUAAUGAUGAUCCGAAAGCUCAUGAUCCCAUUUUUCUGGAUGAGCGUGAUGACAAUGAUGAAUGGUUGGCUUUAGAGAAUUUGGAUGACUUGGUUGUACAAGGAGAUAAUGUUAUUUU